Molecule: long non-coding RNA, 7496 nt
Organism: Falco peregrinus (peregrine falcon)
Lineage: Eukaryota; Metazoa; Chordata; Aves; Falconiformes; Falconidae
Exons: 3
Source: RefSeq, a predicted model, not a curated record
CCCUGCACCUACAUAUUUAUGCUGUGAGCAUUUGAGAUACUCUGUGUCACACAGACAAGUGGAUUAAUGCAAUGAGUAAUGUGGAUAAUCAACACGCUUAUCUGGUUCCCCAAAUACCCACCUGGUCUCUGGAAGGGAUUAAAGCAAUGCAAUGAAUUCAUCUUCAAGUUUUAUGUGCUACAGCACUGCAAACACAUGUCCAUCUUUCCAGCAAUACGGCAAAAGCAGUAUUUGCACAUCUGCAGGGUUAGUGAUUUGUGUGAAUAUAUUUGGAGCAUUUCUUAGGUAACCCGAGCCCUGCCUGCCCAGCGUGGAGCCUGCUAGUUCCAGGUGCCUGAGAUUAGUUCAUUAGUAGAGGCAGGCAAUUAGGGCCUCUGCCUGAGUGAGUGGAAGACCAUUCAUUGUCUUCCCCAGGAACCAGCUCAGGCCCUCAGUAAUUAUUUUGAAGAAGGUUUUUAGAAUCAGUAUCUAAAGAAAAGAUGACCCUUUUGGAGGCACAAAAGGACUUCUCGAGGCCAAAAUGUUGUAAUAUUCUACCACCUCAGAAGAACCAGGUAUGAAGAGGGGAACUUUUAACACCAUUUCAUCCAAACAACUUCCCUUAUAUUUCAGAGUUGUUUCUCAGUGGAUGACGCUGACCAAGAAGGCAAUGAAGCUAACUACGUGUAUUCGGCUCAGGUACGCUCCUCCCUGUCGCUCAGUUACACAUCUGUGGGCGAGCCCUCUCCACUCCUCAAGCAAGAAAAGAAAGGCAGGACUGGCUGCUAGCAAGUAAAUACAAGCUGAAACAUCUGUGUGACAGAUAAUCACAUACAGCUACGAGAGUCACUGAUGCUGAUCCAUCUGUAAACCAUUCCAUGUGCCAGUUACUUGAUACCAGGUGGGUUUUUCUGGAGGGGAAGCCAAGAGAAAAUGAGUGUAUGUCCACGGCGAAGUUAAGACACAUAUUUAGCUCAUUACUGCUCUCCUUUCUUUUAUGGUUUUUCACUUUUAUGUCAGGCUCUUUCUUCUUCACAUUGCUGUAUGGCAUAGAACUACUGAUGAGCUUUCUGAGGCAACACAUGCUGGACUGUAGUAUAUAAUCUAUACAUGGAACACCUUCAAACACUUUUUGCAUGUAAUCAGUGGAGUGAUCCAAGCACACGUAAGGGGGCUGUGGAGACUGGAGUGGCAUUUGUGUGCAAUUCAGCUUGCAGCAUUCCUGUCUGGGGCCCUCCUCCAAUGCUGUGGAAGUCACCGGGCAAUUUGGUCCAGACUUAAGUGACAGGAAGAGCUAAACCAAUUACAUUUUCUAAGACUGUGAAAUGAAAGUCUUUAUGUAUUUACACAGUAGAUUUUACAAAGUGCGUUCAUAUUAUCAUCUUUACUGCCAGAUCUUAUUAAAAACAUCCUUUAUUCUGUGACUUUGACUAAGCCUCAGGCGAGGGGCCACGGGGCACCACAGUCAUGUCCCUGAAAACCACUCCUGCUGCUUGGAUAGCUAAGCCACUGCUGACUGCUUUCUCUGUAUCAGCACCGUGCUUUCAUACUUGGUUAAAGUGUUUUCUAAAGGCAGCUUGGCCCCAUCUUAUCCCAGUAAUUACAUUAGUAGCAUGACCAGGGGACUGUUCAGUUCUCCUAAGUCAGAACCAUCUUAUUUUAUAUCUCCUGGUAGUACCAUGGAAAAUUAUGUAUCUGGAGACAUGUAACGAUAUCAAUUUAGAGUCAAUAUUUCUAUUUUAUCUCUCAAUCUAAGGCUGGAUUACACAGCAGAAAAUGGGUCCUGAAGGCAACACUACUCAGGUCCUUUCACUGUGCAGCUGGACACUUUUGUUUACACUUAAUGUUUAAAUCUUUCACUUUAAAUCUCCACUUACCACUUUUUUCUGAAUUUAUCUGUAGGUACAUGCAGGACUUUCUCCUCAUUUUAAUACAUAUUUUUGAUUUUUAAAAAGUGAUUUCUUAAUCUGAUUUUUAAUAAGACUACAUUUAUAAAUAAUAAUAAAACCAUGGCUUAUUUCAAUAAGAUAUUGCAGUUGUACAAAUUGGUCUUCUUUUACCAGUACAUUUUACUGCUAUCGCUAUUCCAACUAAAGAAGUCACUCAAAAAAAUGUUUACAUGAUAAUGUAACCUAUAUUUUUUCCCCUUUUAUUUUCAGGAAAUUAAACUGUAAGGGAUAUGCAUGAGCCAAAGUAAAUAGUGGCAGCAGGAGAGGAAGCAUUUACAGACAUCAACUCCAUUGUAUAAUUUCAAGAGUCCAACCAAAAAAAGACAUCAAACACAAUCUAACCUGCUUGCUUGUACAGAAAAAUGGAAGACUAAGUGUAAAUAAUCUGAACAUUGCAACAGACCAUUUUAAAGGUCCUUCAUUUGCAACUGCUGCCUUUGUUUCUCCUUUGUAUCGAUAAACUCUUGUAAAAUACAAUACUUUAAAUAAAAUGUCUUUACAAAGAGACAAAGCACAAAAUCCUGCAUCAGCCACCCUAUAUAUUUCUUUCCUUAAUUAAUUGUUCAUUUUAAAUACAUGGCAGUUAUUUCUAUAUACACUUAUAUACUCACAGAACACAUUUUUCUCCUUAUCUGCUAUAGCUAUCAGAUUACUUUGACCAGCUAUGUAUGUUAUUAGCUGUACAAAAACAACUUGGCACCUGCUUGUUGUUGUCUCUGUUACUCAUGUAGUACAGCGUUUCUAAGGGAUGCAUUUAUCUUUCAAAAUCAUUCUUCUGCAUUGUGGCUUAAACAUUAGUUCUCAACAAAGAGGAGAAUGCCCUGGGCAUUUUUUAGUUCCAAACAAAGUCAAAUGUUGCUACACUUUUGUCCAAAUAAUCCCCAGAUAUAAGCAAUAUUUGAAAGAAGAAAUGUGCUACCUCUCACCUUCAGAAGAUGCUGGUCAGAUGUGUAAGCUGGAAAGCCAAAACCUCAGUUGUAAUAUGUCUAAUGAAACCAGAUUCAUUUACUCCUUCUGAACCUGAUCCAGUCUUUCAUGUUUCAUUAAAUACCAUUCAGAGAGGUGAAUGAUUAAUCUGAGGUUAACUGUAUCUUUUCAAUAUUCCUUUUGACAACAAAUAAUCUUCCUAUUUUUUCCAACAAUAAAUCAACAGAAACUUCCAUAUUGGUCAGUUAUGAUCACCAAAGCACUAACAAAUUUUCACUUCCCAUGUAUUUUUUGUCAUGGAUUUUUCACUUCUCAGUCUUGCCCAGUCACUGGUUCCCUAUACAAAGAUGUUUCAAACCAAUUAACAUCCUUGAAUGAAAACUGAAAUUCAACCACUCCUUAUCUAAGCAUUAACAUUAUUCAUACUGCUCCUAUACUACAGUGCACACUACCAACUGCCCCAUUAUUUUAACCUUUACUACUACAGUACAGAGGAGGAUUCUACCAUUAAAAACAAAUUGCCAGAAUGCUAUGAAUACAUUAUUUUAAGAACACAUGGAGGGUUCCCACACUGAUCAAAUAAAAUCUGGGUCCCGUGAAGGCAGUACUAGUUUAGCUUCAGUGGAGGCAGGCCUUUGCUCAUCAUAUGUGACAAAAAAAACACCUUUAAAGGCAGUGAGCUUUGUUCACGUACUCUUCACAUUAAGAUGUCUGAAGAUUUUCUUGAACGCAGACUUCUGCUAAGGGCUUUACACUUAGAUUAGUUUAAUCAAAAUCACCUUUUUUUUCUGCAAGUGGCAAGGUCAAAGCCUUCUAGAUACACAGAUAUACAAAUAACAUCAAGAUUUUAAAGUUUUUAUUGUAGUAGUGGUCUUUUGGUACCCAAUUGCAAUAAUUUUAAGUGGGGGUUUCAGACUUUGGACUCCCUUUACUGAGCUAAAUGAAGAUCUGCAAUGGUGAUCAAAGGGCCUUAUGAGGAAAUAAGCUGUCAUUUGGACAGAAGUAUAUUAAAGCUGACAACAGCAAAGCCGAUCUUCCCUAAGACAAGCAGAGUUCAGGUUACUUCACAUUCAUUAUUAUUUUUUCCCCAGAAAGCUUGGAUGAAGUUUUCUACCUACUUUUGGAUGGGAUAUCAACAUUUGCAGAAUGUUUUCAGAAGGUCAGCAUACUAGAUCCCGCAGGUAUAAAUGUCAGUCUUCAGUGGAGACGUAUACCGUUUCCCACAUCAAAACCCUGGCAUCUGACAGCUUACCAGAAAUAAUCCAUAGGGGUCUUCUCUUUGUUAUUAACGACAGAGGCACAUCUCUUGGCAAUGAUUUGUUUCUCUUCAGAAUGGAAAUUAUCUAGGGGAAUUCUUUACCUCUGACCUAUGUUAGACUUUGCUUGUUAUCACCCUCACAGCAGCACUGGCUUGCUGCUGAAGUAUAUUCUUUUCUCAAAGAAAAGAAAUGGCUUUUUAAUACAUGAUAAAUACAAGGAUCAAUGAGGUGGGGAGAAACUUGCUCUCUUCUUCUUUUUAUUAUGGCAAGAUUCACCUACACGUCCACCAAAAAUAUCUGACCAAAAACAGUUUUCAGGGUGUGCUGACACAUGCCAUAUCAUCUUAGGUCAGGGCAACAUUCCAAUACUGGGUUCAGUUGAAAUAUAUUAAAGCCUUAAAUACCUGAAGUCCAAAACAUAUGGAAAAAAGGAAAGAGAAAUGGAAAAGAAAAAGAAGAUGUUAACAUGUUCUAAGCUCUUGAUCAACUAGCAUUUCAAAGUCUUGUCAGCUUAAAAUGGUUCUGGUCUUUCUCACCAAAACUUUUAAGAGAAAGUGAGUAUUCCCUAUUAAAAAAAAAAAACAACCAACAAACCCUACAUUUUUCACUACUCAAAAGGAGGGAUACCUCUGCAAAUUUCAUUAUACAGCCUAUAAACAAAAAUGAAUGGAAAAUAACAAGUGUAUGUAUUCACUUGAUAUAUGGUCAAACUUGUCCUAAGAAAAAAGAAGAUAUUGGGUUGCUUUACUACAUCAUCUAGAAUACCUACUCUUUUAAGGUUUAAAUAACUGCUUUGCAGAGUUUAAGUUUGAUUGUAAAGCCAUAGAAAUUAUACAAUGAACAAAUAACUUCAACUGCAAAUAGAGGCAAGUUUUAAGAGCGAACAAAGUAUAUUCCAGCAUGCUAGCAGUGUUCAAAAACCUUACGUAGGCACAGGUGUUCAAUCUGAACCUUUAAGUUAAAGGGUUAAAGAAUAAGGUUUUAAAUUCAGUACUUAAAAACCACUCCAUGGUUUGAUCUUUUCUCACUCUUUUGUCUAUGGACUACCCUUAAAUUCCAGUUAAGUCAGGUUUCUUCUUUGACGUAGAUAAGAAAGGCCCCUGGCUUUCUGCACACUUGCAGAAGACAGUUAGAUGAUUAGAGCACUGAUAUUUUUCAGUACUAUUGAUCAAAACAGGUCUGAGAACAGUGCUGUAGAAGAACAUAGAUGCUGCAAACUUUAAAGUCUGAUAAACCACCCACAUCCUCAGAUAACCCACUGCUUCUGUGGCUGCAGCACGAUCUUAUUCCUCCUUAGGUGUUCACUGCUCUGAUGAUUUACUGUGCUCCUGACAAAGGCUAGCUGCUCUGAGAGUAGGAAUAAAGGAGACUGAGAAGCUACUGGGGCAAAGGAAGUAGCUUAUGAAGAUUCAAGGCAGUGGAAGACCCUAGGAUAAACUUAAAUUUAUAGUAUUUGUGUAUAGCCUAUACUGUACAGACUAAAAGCUAGGUUCACUAGGUUUUAAAAGAAGGAAUGGGUUUGUCUCUUUAACACAAAUAACCAUGUGAGAAUAAAAGCAUAUUUCAACUGUGAGAGGGAAUUAUUCUCCUUAACUUAUAUUUUCAUUGCAGUUUAACUCAGGAAAAAAAAAAUAUUACUGAAAUAAGCAUUAUCCCAAACCAACUGCAGUCUUUUUAUUUCCUUAUCCAACCUAGCUCUUGUGAGGUGCAAUGCAUUCCUAGUCCCACAUGACUAGGAAUAUAUUUACGUGACUCAAGUUUAAUUUUCACAUUCAGGAAAAAUGUAUCUAUAUGCCACUGCACAUAUCCCCAAAUGCUACGGUAGAAUUUGUGUCAAUAAUCAUAUGAUCUAACAAAAACAUGACAGUGGGAAUCUCUGUUUUGUGAGGAAUGCAUGAACUGACCAGUUUGUAGUGAAUACCCACAAACAGCACAAAGACUCAGUACUUCACCGGUAAAAAUCCUUUUCUCUUCAGACAAUUGAGGGCAGGUGAAAUAUUUUCAAAACCUGAGGCUACGAGAUAUACAUAUGCCAUCUUGAUUAAACAUAUGGAAUGCAUACUCAAAGAAAAGCCAAGUGGAGUCCUAGUUGAGUAAUCAAAACACCCAAGCUGAGAGGGGUUAACAUGCGAGGAUCAGCUCUGAACUUUGAAGUUUUCUGGUCUUCAUUUUUCCUAAUUAAGACAAGAUUUAAUAACCAAACCACUGUACAAACUAUGUACUUAAACUCUAGGUUUGUUUCUAAUUUUGUUGGGAAUUCUUAGAGAUUCCAAAGAAUCAGUACCCCUGGGAAGUUCACCCAGUAAGGUGGAUUGUUUUGUUUGUUUUUUUUCUCUUUUUUUUCACUUAGGUAGAAGGGCUGAAUGCCAGCUUUUCAUCUUUUCUUCUUUGCCAUUGCCUCUUAUAUACAGUUAUUAGGUAACCCUCAAAGAAAAGAAAAUAACUAAAGAUGCACAAUUAAUACCUUUGAAUUACUAGGUGAGCUCCAGAAAACAACUUUUGGAAAGCUAUGUAGUAAGUGCACAAAAACAUUCUCCAGAUAAAAGCAUUUAAUUACUCGCAUAUCUUCAUUUCAGAGCAGGGAACAGCAUCACAUUUGUCAUAAAGGCAUUAGCUCCUGAUAAAUCUAUUUAUAUUCAGCUGUUCUUUGUUUACUAAUGGAUGGUACCCUGUUUUCUCCCCUGCUCCAUUCUCCCUCCAUCUCCCUCCCUUACCCAGAACAAGGUGUUACUCUACAGGGAAAGAGGAGCACAAUUCAACUCUGUAUCUGAUGUUAACAAUAGCACAUUUUUCUUUUUCCUUUUAUAUGGUAAUUUUAUAUUGCCAUAUAGAUAACAAAAUGUCAUGUUACUAAUUGACUCACAGAGAAAAAGUUGGUUUGAUAAAAGCCAGUUUAAAACAUCUCCAGAUGUUUAUGAAGUUUCUGACAUAAAAAAGAUAAAUUUAAUCAGCUGAUUUGAGUUCAGAGUUACAUAUUUACUUUACAUACUAGUCCACAAGAAAGCUUAAAGAACAAUUCAAAGGCAGCUAAAUAGACUUAUUGCUGAAGCACAGAAAUGCAAAAGCUCUAAAAAAUUGGACCAAAAUGCAGUAAACUUUAAGGCACCAUUUACCAUUCAACAGGAAACCACCUGUAAUUUAAACCUGUUAAGAUGCUUUGAACCCUAUUUUGUCGAAUUGUAUUCUUACGCAUGACAAGAACAACAAAUUACCUUUGUAGUGUGUUUCAGAAGCUGAAAAUGAAGAUCUAUAUAAUUGUAUACACCAACUAUGCAUAAACAAGAUGCUCAUGCUCUACUGUCUACAACCACAUGGGACCAACACUUAAAAUUCCUUAUUAGUUUUCAACCUUUAUGUUUACUGGAAAUUCCUUAUUUUAGGA